CAGCAGCCGCGGUAAUACGUAGGUGGCAAGCGUUGUCCGGAAUUAUUGGGCGUAAAGGGCUCGCAGGCGGUUUCUUAAGUCUGAUGUGAAAGCCCCCGGCUCAACCGGGGAGGGUCAUUGGAAACUGGGAAACUUGAGUGCAGAAGAGGAGAGUGGAAUUCCACGUGGAGCGGUGAAAUGCGUUGAGAUCGGAAAGAACACCAACGGCGAAAGCACUCUGCUGGGCCGACGUUGACACUGAGAGACAAACGCUAGGGGAGAAAAUGGGAUUAGAUACCCCGGUAGUCCCUGUCUCUUAUAA
This 301-nucleotide ribosomal RNA is filed under the name uncultured bacterium. Its description in RNAcentral is "partial 16S ribosomal RNA". It matches the Rfam family "Bacterial small subunit ribosomal RNA", at positions 509 to 809 of the family's 1533-position model. The record is from RNAcentral.